UAUGGGCCCUCAUGGCAUUCUUG
RNAcentral lists this microRNA (23 nucleotides) under Panagrellus redivivus. RNAcentral describes it as "prd-miR-7939g-5p". The record is from miRBase by way of RNAcentral. Lineage: Eukaryota; Metazoa; Nematoda; Chromadorea; Rhabditida; Panagrolaimidae.